RNAcentral lists this ribosomal RNA (518 nucleotides) under Companilactobacillus paralimentarius. RNAcentral describes it as "bacterial SSU rRNA". It matches the Rfam family "Bacterial small subunit ribosomal RNA", at positions 62 to 568 of the family's 1533-position model. Lineage: Bacteria; Bacillati; Bacillota; Bacilli; Lactobacillales; Lactobacillaceae. The record is from RNAcentral.
UGAAGCUUGCUUCAUGAUUCAGACCUUGGUGAGUGGCGGACGGGUGAGUAACACGUGGGUAACCUGCCCAGAAGUGGGGGAUAACAUUUGGAAACAAGUGCUAAUACCGCAUAACAACAUUUAUCUCAUGAUUUUUGUUUAAAAGAUGGUUCUGCUAUCUCUUCUGGAUGGACCCGCGGCGUAUUAGCUAGUUGGUGAGGUAAUAGCUCACCAAGGCGAUGAUACGUAGCCGACCUGAGAGGGUAAUCGGCCACAUUGGGACUGAGACACGGCCCAAACUCCUACGGGAGGCAGCAGUAGGGAAUCUUCCACAAUGGACGAAAGUCUGAUGGAGCAACGCCGCGUGAGUGAAGAAGGUUUUCGGAUCGUAAAACUCUGUUGUUGAAGAAGAACAUAUGUGAGAGUAACUGUUCACGUACUGACGGUAUUCAACCAGAAAGCCACGGCUAACUACGUGCCAGCAGCCGCGGUAAUACGUAGGUGGCAAGCGUUGUCCGGAUUUAUUGGGCGUAAAGAGA